Molecule: long non-coding RNA, 577 nt
Organism: Saccostrea cuccullata (small rock oyster)
Lineage: Eukaryota; Metazoa; Mollusca; Bivalvia; Ostreida; Ostreidae
Exons: 5
Source: RefSeq, a predicted model, not a curated record
AGUUGCCCAUUUUUCUGAUCGCGUGAAGUGCAUCCACCAUUCUGAUUGUACCAGCCACAAAUGUUCCACUGACAAACCCACUCCGUACUGCAAGCACGAUCAUGUUCUUUUAAUUUUUGGAGCCCACUGUGACUGUACGGAGUGUGUUGAAGAUAGAGAUUGUCACUGCCCAGCUGGAACAACACCACACUGUGACCAGCACCUCCUUUCCCACAACUUUAGGACUUGUCAAUGUAAUCCAACGAUAAUUACAACAACCACAUCCGUCCCUCCACCGACCGUGACUCAGCUAUCAACAACAGCCUGUCAUUAUCAUGCUGACUGCAGUGGACACAUAUGUCCCUCUGAUAAACACCCUUACUGCAAAAUCGACAGAUACUCAACAACAUGUGAUUGUACAGUUUGCACAGAACAUAGUCAUUGUCUUUGCCCUCAAGGACUGAUUGCUCAAUGUCACUUUGAUUAUAUACAUAAUUCUCAUAGAUGUAUUUGUGGACUAGCACGAGACACAACAAUAAAGACAACAAGUACUACAGCAGCAACAACAAGCACAACGACAAAAACAACAAUAGCAGGU